This 971-nucleotide small RNA is filed under the name Pan troglodytes (chimpanzee). RNAcentral's name for it is "retained intron". Lineage: Eukaryota; Metazoa; Chordata; Mammalia; Primates; Hominidae. The record is from RNAcentral.
CAUAGGCCGCAGCCGAGGUGCCAUCAUCUCCCAGUACUACAACCGCACGGUGCAGCUUCGGCGCAGGAGCAGCCGGCCCCUGCUCGGGAACUUUGUCCACUCCGCCCGGCCCAGCCUCCGCCUGUACGACCUGGAGCUGGACCCCACGGCCCGGGAGGAGGAGGAGAAGCAGAGCCUCCUGGUGAAGGAGCUCCAGAGCCUGGCAGUGGCACAGCGGGACCACAUGCUUCGAGGGAUGCCCUUAAGCCUGGCUGAGAAACGCAGCCUGCGAGAGAAGAGCAGGACCCCGAGGGGGAAGUGGAGGGGCCAGCCGGGCAGCGGCGGGGUCUGCUCCUGCUGUGGCCGGCUCAGAUAUGCCUGCGUGCUGGCCUUGCACAGCCUGGGCCUGGUGCUGCUCUCCGCCCUGCAGGCCCUGAUGCCGUGGCGCUACGCCCUGAAGCGCAUCGGGGGCCAGUUCGGCUCCAGCGUGCUCUCCUACUUCCUCUUUCUCAAGACCCUGCUGGCUUUCAAUGCCCUCCUGCUGCUGCUGCUGGUGGCCUUCAUCAUGGGCCCUCAGGUCGCCUUCCCACCCGCCCUGCCGGGCCCUGCCCCCGUCUGCACAGGCCUGGAGCUCCUCACAGGCGCGGUGAGGAAGCCCUAGGACUGGGGGACGGGGGGUGCCUGUCUUCUGCUACCCUGGUACCGUGUCCCCUUCUUGUCCCAGCUCCCCUGGGGCCCCCAACCCUUGCCCCGCUGUGACUCCAGGUGGCCACAGCCAGCUCCCCGCCUCCCCCUCAAUGACCCUGGAUGCUCAUCGUGCUGGGGUUCCCAUGGGGCUGGAGGCCCAAGAUUGCUGUGGCCAAGGCCCCUCCCUGUUUCCCUCACUGCCCCUGCCUGGCCUCCUCCUGCUCUGCCCCUGUGGCUGUCAGGCCUGAGGGUCGGGGUGGGGCGUGGGGAGAGUCCCUGACUCAGCUGGAUCUCCCUGUGGCAGG